This 288-nucleotide ribosomal RNA is filed under the name uncultured bacterium. RNAcentral describes it as "partial 16S ribosomal RNA". It matches the Rfam family "Bacterial small subunit ribosomal RNA", at positions 773 to 1060 of the family's 1533-position model. The record is from RNAcentral.
GUGGAUUAGAUACCCUAGUAGUCCUGGCAGUAAACGGUGCACGCUUGGUGUGAGGGGAAUCGACCCCCCUUGUGCCGGAGCAAACGCGUUAAGCGUGCCGCCUGGGAAGUACGGUCGCAAGACUAAAACUCAAAGAAAUUGACGGGGACCCGCACAAGCGGUGGAGUAUGUGGCUUAAUUCGAUGCAACGCGAAGAACCUUACCUGGGCUUGACAUGCCUCUCUAAGCGCGUGAAAGCGCGUGACCCUUCGGGGGAUUGGCACAGGUGCUGCAUGGCCGUCGCCAACU